UAUUGGUUUGGCUAAAAAGUUCAUUCGGAUUUUUCCAUGCCCUCUUACAGAAAAACCCAAAUGAAUUUUUUGGCCAACCCAAU
RNAcentral lists this microRNA precursor (83 nucleotides) under Ovis aries (sheep). Its description in RNAcentral is "miRNA (ENSOARG00000021300.1)". The record is from RNAcentral. Lineage: Eukaryota; Metazoa; Chordata; Mammalia; Artiodactyla; Bovidae.